Long non-coding RNA from Homo sapiens (human), 843 nucleotides. RefSeq lists it as uncharacterized. The transcript is spliced from 2 exons. The record is from RefSeq and is a predicted model, not a curated record. Lineage: Eukaryota; Metazoa; Chordata; Mammalia; Primates; Hominidae.
CUGAGUGCCUCACGCAAGUUCGGUGACCUCUGCCCAGCCGAGAGCAGGGGAGGGUCCCGCGGCCAGGGCCCCGAGCGGCUCACCCUCCACGGCGUGGUUCACCUCUUGGAUGAACAGCUGCAGCUUCAUCACCAGGGUGGCUGCGUGGCCAUCCGCCUUCCCGGACGCCGCCUCCUUGGAGCCGGCCCUGAAGGCCGCAUUGAUCCACUCCUUCACGUCGAAGUCGUCUGCCAGGAACUUGGAGAAGUCCAUGGCGGAACUGCCUCAGGCCUGGCGUCCAGAACUUAAGAGUUGGCUCCGGGCGGCAACGGGGAUGCAGAAGCGAGCGAGCCUGCGAGAGCACCGAGGCUAGCCUCCGAGGCGAACCCCAGAAACGCCAGGACGGGUAACUUGCCCCUUUGCGCUUCCCCGCUCAGCGCACUCAGUUUGCGGCUGGGAAUGACCCUCGCCGCCCGCCGUUCUUCUUCCGGAAGUCGUUGGCCGUUACCAUAGUGACUGCAGGCGUCCGGAGCGCUGAGCAGAGGUGCAGUGGCUCAUGCCUGCAAUCCCAGCACUUUGGGAGGCCGAGGCAGGAGGAUCACAAGGUCAGGAGUUCCAUACAAGACUAGCCUGCCCAACAUGGUGAAACCCCGUCUCUACUGAAAAUACAAAAACAGCCUGGCGUGGUUGUGUGCACCUGUAAUCCCAGCUACUCAGGAGGCUGAGGCAGGAGAACUGCUUGAACCCGGGAGGCAAAGGUUGCAGUGAACAGAGAUCGGGCCACUGUUAUCCAGCCUGGGUGACAGAGUGAGACUCCAUCUCAAAAAAUAAAUAAAUAAAAUAAGUAUUUCCUUUUAAUGCUAA